GUUGCCCCUUGAGGCGUUGCAGCGCAACCGUCCGUGUUGCGGCUGUGUCAAAAGGCGGCAAAGAGCAAAAGGCGGUCGUCUGCACCGUGACGACGCGGCGUUUUGUUGACCGCCGACAUG
Small nucleolar RNA from Syngnathoides biaculeatus (alligator pipefish), 120 nucleotides. RefSeq annotates it as small nucleolar RNA SNORA17. Lineage: Eukaryota; Metazoa; Chordata; Actinopteri; Syngnathiformes; Syngnathidae. The transcript has a single exon. The record is from RefSeq and is a predicted model, not a curated record.